This 314-nucleotide ribosomal RNA is filed under the name Burkholderia sp. DV2. RNAcentral describes it as "bacterial SSU rRNA". It matches the Rfam family "Bacterial small subunit ribosomal RNA", at positions 45 to 360 of the family's 1533-position model. The record is from RNAcentral. Lineage: Bacteria; Pseudomonadati; Pseudomonadota; Betaproteobacteria; Burkholderiales; Burkholderiaceae.
AUGCCUUACACAUGCAAGUCGAUCGGCAGCACGGGGGCAACCCUGGUGGCGAGUGGCGAACGGGUGAGUAAUACAUCGGAACGUGUCCUGUAGUGGGGGAUAGCCCGGCGAAAGCCGGAUUAAUACCGCAUACGAUCUACGGAUGAAAGCGGGGGAUCUUCGGACCUCGCGCUAUAGGGGCGGCCGAUGGCGGAUUAGCUAGUUGGUGGGGUAAAGGCUCACCAAGGCGACGAUCCGUAGCUGGUCUGAGAGGACGACCAGCCACACUGGGACUGAGACACGGCCCAGACUCCUACGGGAGGCAGCAGGGGGGA